Molecule: ribosomal RNA, 396 nt
Filed under: uncultured bacterium
Lineage: Bacteria
Description: partial 16S ribosomal RNA
Rfam family: Bacterial small subunit ribosomal RNA
Source: RNAcentral
AUCGUAGGGGGCGAGCGUUGUCCGGAAUGAUUGGGCGUAAAGGGCGCGUAGGCGGCGCGGUAAGUCUGGAGUGAAAGUCCUGCUUUCAAGGUGGGAAUUGCUUUGGAUACUGCCGCGCUUGAGUGCAGGAGAGGUUAUCGGAAUUCCCGGUGUAGCGGUGAAAUGCGUAGAGAUCGGGAGGAACACCAGUGGCGAAGGCGGGUAACUGGACUGCAACUGACGCUGAGGCGCGAAAGUGUGGGGAGCAAACAGGAUUAGAUACCCUGGUAGUCCACACUGUAAACGAUGAAUGCUAGGUGUAAGAGGUAUCGACCCCUUUUGUGCCGGAGUCAACACAAUAAGCAUUCCGCCUGGGGAGUACGGCCGCAAGGUUGAAACUCAAAUGAAUUGACGGGG